Molecule: ribosomal RNA, 253 nt
Filed under: uncultured bacterium
Lineage: Bacteria
Description: partial 16S ribosomal RNA
Rfam family: Bacterial small subunit ribosomal RNA
Source: RNAcentral
UACGUAGGCAGCGAGCGUUGUUCGGAGUUACUGGGCGUAAAGGGUGCGUAGGCGGUUUUCCAAGUUUGGUGUGAAAUCUCCCGGCUUAACUGGGAGGGUGCGCCGAAAACUAGGAGACUUGAGUACCGGAGAGGUAAGCGGAAUUCCUGGUGUAGCGGUGAAAUGCGUAGAGAUCAGGAGGAACACCUGUGGUGUAGACAGCUUACUGGACGGUCACUGACGCUGAGGCACGAAAGCGUGGGAAGCAAACAGG